Molecule: RNase P RNA, 343 nt
Filed under: pig gut metagenome
Description: Bacterial RNase P class A
Rfam family: Bacterial RNase P class A
About the family: Ribonuclease P (RNase P) is a ubiquitous endoribonuclease, found in archaea, bacteria and eukarya as well as chloroplasts and mitochondria. Its best characterised activity is the generation of mature 5'-ends of tRNAs by cleaving the 5'-leader elements of precursor-tRNAs. Cellular RNase Ps are ribonucleoproteins.
Source: RNAcentral
UCAUCGCUGCUAUAAAUUUUUAUAGGAGAGGAAAGUCCGAGCAACGCAGAGCAUUUUACUUCCUAACGGGAAGAUAUAAAAAGGAAUUUUUAUAAUAGAAAGUGCAACAGAAAAUAUACCGCCAUCUCUGAUGGUAAGGGUGAAAUAGUGAGGUAAAAGCUCACUUGCGAUUUGGUGACAGGUCGUAUGGCAAACCUUAAAAGUUGAAAGAUCAAAUAGGUGUUUUAUAGGCUGCUCGUCUAAUGAACAUGGGAGGAUCGAUAGACGUUAUGAGUGAUCAUAAUGCUAGAUAAAUGAUGAUCAUGCAAUUUUUUGCAUACAGAACUCGGCUUAUAGGCCCAUU